This 493-nucleotide small RNA is filed under the name Pongo abelii (Sumatran orangutan). RNAcentral's name for it is "processed transcript". The record is from RNAcentral. Lineage: Eukaryota; Metazoa; Chordata; Mammalia; Primates; Hominidae.
AACACCACCCCAGGAGAACCUGCCACAUCUAGCAGCAGACCUGUGGCACCUUCUGGAACUGCUCUUUCCACUACCUCUACCUCCUGAGUUCAGCAACUACCCCCUCCCUGCCUAUGUCCUCUGGCAGAAGCACAGAAGAGGCCACUUCAUCAGCUUUGCCUGAGAAGCCAGGUGACAGUGAGGUCUCAGCAUCAGCAGCCUCACUUCUAGAGGAGCAACAGUCAGCCCAGCUUCCCCAGGCUCCUCCGCAAACUUCUGACUCUGUUAAAAAAGAACCUGCUCUUGCCCAGCCUGCAGUCAGCAACUCUGGCACUGCAGCAUCUAGUACUAGUCUUGUAGCACUUUCUGCAGAGGCUACCCCAACCACCACCGGGGUCCCUGAUGCCAGGUCGGAGGCAGUACCACCUGCUUCCUCCUUUUCUGUGCCUGGGCAGACUGCUGUCACAGCAGCUGCUAUCUCAAGUGCAGGCCCUGUGGCCGUCGAAACAUCAAG